RNAcentral lists this long non-coding RNA (297 nucleotides) under Mustela putorius furo (domestic ferret). Its description in RNAcentral is "lncRNA (ENSMPUG00000028058.1)". Lineage: Eukaryota; Metazoa; Chordata; Mammalia; Carnivora; Mustelidae. The record is from RNAcentral.
UCAUUUUCUCUGCUCCAGCACAACAGAGGAUGGUAUGGACUUGAGGACUCUGGGCUUAUAAUGGCUGCCGGCUCACAGUGAGGACAAGAUCUGCUGGUACUGGUGUCUGGACCCUACUCUAGUCUAGUCUUUUAAGCUUUUAUUUCAGAGAGAAUUGAGGGAGAAGGGAAUGUAGACUCUGCAUUGAGCACAGAGCCGGAUGUGAGGCUUGAUCCCAUGACCAGAGCCAAAAUCAAGAGCCAGAUGCUCAACUGACUGAGCCAUCACAAGAAGGUAAAUCUUAAAUAUUCUCACUGU